UGGUGAUGGUGUGCCUGAUUAUUGGUAGUAGAACCUUCGCGACACGAAUUUUCGUCUGAAAAGAAAAAAGCUGUAACCAGCGGGCUGCGAAAAUCCGAAAUAUUUAUUAAAACGAAUUUAUUUGCAAUAUGCAGUUAUGUACAGCAUGGGGUAAAGUCGGAUCUGCCUGUAUUGUACGUGCCGCGCAAACCCUAAACAUACAGAAUUUUUACUGGAGUUGACAACUUGGCACGGAUGUUGAUGUUACUCGAUUAUGCUGCGGUGCAGCAGUUUAAUCUUGAAUUCGCAGGGAUUUACCAUCACCAGUUCAUGUUCGAUUUUCUGGAGUUUUCUAUUCGAAUUUCUGGAGUUCACUUUUCAAAAGAAAUUUAAUCUUGAAUUCGCAUUCGAUUCUCUGGAGUUUACUGUUGGAAAGGUGAAGAUUGUUUGAGAGUGAAGAUUGUUGUUGAGAGUUAAGAUUUGUUUUCCAUUCAAGAUUUAGAAUUUCCAUUCAACAGCUUUAGCUUUCGUUUGGAAACCCUAAGUCACCGUUUUGAUUGAACAAGUUUCAAUUCUCAACAAGAAGAUUGCGAAGAUUUCCGUUCAAUAUCUUUGCAUUUUUCACAGUAAAUUGAGUAACAUUUUAUGUUGGACGAUAUGUCUGGGCUCUAAAUCUCAUUAUUUUGAGGAAAAAUCAUAUGAAGGCUCAACCAGAAAUUUGUAACUGAUUAA
Molecule: long non-coding RNA, 711 nt
Organism: Cryptomeria japonica (Japanese cedar)
Lineage: Eukaryota; Viridiplantae; Streptophyta; Pinopsida; Cupressales; Cupressaceae
Exons: 3
Source: RefSeq, a predicted model, not a curated record